UGAUGAGGUAGAGGUGCAGAAAAGAUCAGUAACUUUUGAGUUUAUCCAGAACCAGGAUUUUAAAUUAAAAGUGAAAGGUUUUUCUGCCGAAGUGGUUUUUUUAUUGGUUCAAAAAUACCACUGGGGCUGUAUAUAAAAUAUGCAGAACUGUCAUAAUAAUUUUUUAUUAUGUUGUGCUAUCUCAUGU
Molecule: non-coding RNA, 187 nt
Filed under: Halanaerobium saccharolyticum
Lineage: Bacteria; Bacillati; Bacillota; Clostridia; Halanaerobiales; Halanaerobiaceae
Also listed under: 1 other name
Description: Lysine sequence
Rfam family: Lysine riboswitch aptamer
About the family: Riboswitches are metabolite binding domains within certain messenger RNAs that serve as precision sensors for their corresponding targets.
Source: RNAcentral